UUCGUUUUUUAAUUAAAAACUAGAAUGAAAGGUUAUACAUUCAAAUUUCUUUAUUAAUUUCUAAUUAAUAAUUUAUAUUAAAUAUAAAAAUAUACUUAUAAAAAAAAAAGACGACAAGACCCUAUUAAAUUUUACUUAUAGUUUAACUGGGGAAGUUUUUUAAUUAAAAUUUUUUAAAUUUAAUAAAUAAAAAUCUAAUAAAAUUAAAACUUUAACAAAUUACUAUAGGGAUAACAGCAUUAUAUUUUUUAAAAGUUCAUAUUAAAAAAAAUGAUUAUGACCUCGAUGUUGAAUUAUAUUUUCUAUAUUUAAUGCAAUAAUUAUAAAAGUAGAUCUGUUCGAUCUUUAAAAUAUUACAUGAUUUGAGUUCAAACCGGUGUAAACCAGGUUGGUUUCUAUCUUUUUAUAUAUUUUUCCAGUACGAAAGGACAAACAAAUUUUUAUUUUAAUAAAUUAGCAAAUAAAUGCAUUAGAUUUAGAAUCUAAAUAUAUUUAAUAAUU
RNAcentral lists this unclassified non-coding RNA (501 nucleotides) under Anelosimus guacamayos. Its description in RNAcentral is "partial contains 16S ribosomal RNA and tRNA-Leu (trnL)". The stretch from base 105 to 404 matches the Rfam family "Bacterial large subunit ribosomal RNA", at positions 2074 to 2646 of the family's 2925-position model. Lineage: Eukaryota; Metazoa; Arthropoda; Arachnida; Araneae; Theridiidae. The record is from RNAcentral.